RNAcentral lists this ribosomal RNA (497 nucleotides) under uncultured bacterium. Its description in RNAcentral is "partial 16S ribosomal RNA". It matches the Rfam family "Bacterial small subunit ribosomal RNA", at positions 28 to 507 of the family's 1533-position model. The record is from RNAcentral.
GAUGAACGCUGGCGGCGUGCCUAAUACAUGCAAGUCGAGCGAACGGACGAGAAGCUUGCUUCUCUGAUGUUAGCGGCGGACGGGUGAGUAACACGUGGAUAACCUACCUAUAAGACUGGGAUAACUUCGGGAAACCGGAGCUAAUACCGGAUAAUAUUUUGAACCGCAUGGUUCAAAAGUGAAAGACGGUCUUGCUGUCACUUAUAGAUGGAUCCGCGCUGCAUUAGCUAGUUGGUAAGGUAACGGCUUACCAAGGCAACGAUGCAUAGCCGACCUGAGAGGGUGAUCGGCCACACUGGAACUGAGACACGGUCCAGACUCCUACGGGAGGCAGCAGUAGGGAAUCUUCCGCAAUGGGCGAAAGCCUGACGGAGCAACGCCGCGUGAGUGAUAAAGGUCUUCGGAUCGUAAAACUCUGUUAUUAGGGAAGAACAUAUGUGUAAGUAACUGUGCACGUCUUGACGGUACCUAAUCAGAAAGCCACGGCUAACUACGUG